GGGGAGUGGCUGUAGAAACAGAUGAAGCUCCUACGGCUUACCCCCUGCCUUGCGGCCUGGUUCCUAGGUGCCUGUCCGUGGCCUGGGGGUUGGGGACCUUUGUUUUAGUGCAUAUAUUCUUUUCUUUCCAUAGGAGCAAAUUUAAUAUGCUCAGGUUUUAUCUUAUGCCAGCAUGACUUUUUCUUUGGCUUUGAAUCUCCAAUCUGUCUUAGAAACCAAAGAGUAGAUGGAAUCAUUUUUCUUCCAGCUUUGAACAUCAGCAUUCUCCUUAUGGAUCCCCCAGUUCGUUUCUUUUUCUUUUUUUUUUAAUUUUUUUUGAGACAGAGUCUCUCUCUGUAGCCCAGGCUGGGGUGCAGUGGCACGAUCUUGGCUCACUGCAACCUCCACCUCCCAGGUUCAAAUGAUUUUCAUGCCUCAGUCUCCUGAGUAGCUGGGACUACAGGCGUGUGCCACCACACCCAGCUAAUUUUUGUAUUUUUAGUAGAGACAGGGUUUCAUCAUAUUGGCCAGGCUAGUCUUGAACUCUGACCUCAAGCGAUCCGCCAGCCUCCACCUCCCAAAGUGCUGGGAUUUCCAGCGUGAGCCACUGUGUGCAGCCCCAAUUAGUUUCUGUUAUCCUUUUUAUUAAAUUUUGAUCUUUGAAAACGUUUAAUACAUAGCAGCUUGAAGGAUCUACUCCUGAAUAUUUCAUAUUGCAAGUGGUAUCUUGUGUUCUACCCAACCCUGGUUUUUUUGUGGAUUGCUUAGUCCUCCAAUUUUUCUUAGAUCUGAUUUAAUAAUGCUUGUGGUUCCCAGAAAUCUACUGAACCCCGGUCAAACCUUAAACAAGAAACUUUAACCAUGACCACUUAAAAUACAGUAUAUAGAGAAAAAUCCUACUCUGCAAACCAAAUCUCAUCUUAAAAAUUUGUUAUGGAAAAUUUCAAACAAAUGUUAAAAAACCAUACAUAAUGAAGCCCAGUGAACUCAAUACCAGAUUCAGCAAUGAUUAACUUAUGACCAGUCUUGUUGCUUCUAUAUCACCACAUACCUUGUCUUGUAUUAUUUUGAAGCAAAUACUGAGUAUCUGAAAUCUAAAUAUUUCAGUAUGAUCUCUGAAAAAUUAAAGGACCUUUUAAAAGCAUAACAUAAUACUAUUUUUGUUUGUUUGUUUGUUUUUGAGACGGAGUCUCACUCUUUCACCCAGGCCGGACUGCAGUGGCGCUAUCUCAGCUCACUGCAAGCUCCACCUCCCGGGUUCAUGCUAUUCUCCUGCCUCAGCCUCCGGAGUAGCUGGGACUACAGGCACCCGCCACCGCACCCGGCUAAUUUUUUGUAUUUUUAGUAGAGACAGGGUUUCACCAUGUUAGCCAGGAUGGUCUCGAUCUCCUGACCUUGUGACCCGCCCACCUCGGCCUCCCAAAGUGCUGGGACUACAGGCACCCGCCACCGCGCCCGGCCAACAUAAUACUAUUAUCACACCUAAAGUAGUUAAUAUAUUUUCUUACUAUCAUCAGAUAUCCAGAGUUCAAUUUUCUACUUGUCUUUCUUUUUUUAAAGUUUGCUUAACUGGGUCAGGAUCCAGUCAAAUCCACAUGAUAUGUCAAAUCCAUAUGUUCUUUAAGUUUCUUUUAUUCUUUAAAUUUCUCCCUCAUUUUUUUCCUUGCAAUUUAUUUGUUGAAGGAACCAGGUUAUUGGCCCUGUACAAUCUCCCACA
This 1696-nucleotide long non-coding RNA is filed under the name Homo sapiens (human). Its description in RNAcentral is "HSALNT0182886". Lineage: Eukaryota; Metazoa; Chordata; Mammalia; Primates; Hominidae. The record is from RNAcentral.